RNAcentral lists this transfer RNA (84 nucleotides) under Ruminococcus sp. Its description in RNAcentral is "tRNA-Leu". It matches the Rfam family "tRNA". From Rfam's summary of the family: Transfer RNA (tRNA) molecules are approximately 80 nucleotides in length. Lineage: Bacteria; Bacillati; Bacillota; Clostridia; Eubacteriales; Oscillospiraceae. The record is from RNAcentral. RNAcentral also lists the same sequence under 10 other names.
GCGCGUGUGGCGGAAUAGGCAGACGCAAGGGACUUAAAAUCCCUCGGGAGCGAUCCCGUGCCGGUUCAAGUCCGGCCACGCGCA